GAUCAAUCCAUUUUAGAAGCAAUUUCAUCAGAACUUGCAGUUGCUAUAAAUCAAUGGGCGAUUGCCUAGAUUUGGGGUCGAAGACAAUUUAAUUCCAGCGUCUCCCCUGUUUGCUUUGUGUAGCUCUGAAUUCAGGCCAUAAAAGGUACAUUGACAUAAGCCGCCAGCUGUUGCCACCUCCAUCUGAAUGCCAAUGUCCCUCAUCUAUUGACACAAGAAGAAAGUAAAUAAGGUAAGCAUGGCCGCAGCUUCUGUCCGCUGGAGUGCAAGAAGGGGCAGGAGGGGACCCUGGAAGAUAGGCUGAGAAAAGGUGUGCAGGAUCAUCCCAGCAAAGCUGCCGCGUGGUCGCUGUUUGCAGGAACUCUCCCCUCUGCGCUCUCUGAUGUGUGUCUCACUGCUCAGAGAAUUUCUCCUCUGGCAGCUCACAGCCCCAGCUGUGGGCCACUUUCGCAGGCUGUCUCUACCCCAGGACUCCUGGAUGCUCCAAAGGCAUUCCUCCCCAGCCCUCAUUUCAUCAAGAUCCCUUUCCAAAGAGCCCUGUUG
This 543-nucleotide long non-coding RNA is filed under the name Homo sapiens (human). Its description in RNAcentral is "HSALNT0115592". Lineage: Eukaryota; Metazoa; Chordata; Mammalia; Primates; Hominidae. The record is from RNAcentral.